GUGUUUGCUGAAUUAAAUAAACCAUGCUGCAUUGACAGAGCUCGUGAAUGCUGCUAUUGUCACCAGAAUCCCUUUUGCUGGUCUGACCCCAAAUCCUGAUGCCAACUGUGGUGCAGUCAAAGUGAAUAAGAAUCGAUCACGUUGACGGGACUAAGAGGCUCUCCUAAAGGAUCAUCAGUGUGGCACAUCUGUUGCUUCAGCCAGUGGCUAUGCCAGACUUGAGAGAAAACACGUUGCUCAUUAAAUGAAGACAACUAUCAUAAAUAAACGAGAACAUUUGGAAAACUACCCAUGCCUCACUUUUGUUUGAAAGAAGCUUCUCUUUUGGAAGUUCUCGCAACAUAAAAGAGAGGAACUGCACUGCCUCAUUCCACAUGAUUCUUUCCUCUUUCAUUUUUCUGGAGAAAAACACGUGUUUCAACAUCUGGACUUCCAGCAAAUGUUGCCUCCUACCUCAUGUGCCUGCUCCUUUGGCAAGGAGAAAUCCAGUGUCUCUGUUGGUGCAGCUCCCUGCUUUAUUUUCGACCACACAGAGGAGAUGGAACUAGAAGGAGUGUGCUCCAGGAUGCCUUGGUCCAGAUGAGAGCCUCAGAAUCCAGCUGAGCAUUGCUUGGGUGUGAACUUCCCUGCCUGCUUCCCUGCACAGGUUCCUCUCAGGCACAAGAUCCUGCAAGCUAUUUUGGUUGGUCCUGCCAUGGAGGUGUUUUCUGCAUGCUGGAAUUUUUAAGAGUGUUGAUUUAUGUCAUUUUGGCAACAACAUGUUGAAAUUUUUCUACCAUUUUGCAACUGUUAUUCAUCCAUUUAAGCGUGUGACCAGCCUUGAUAAAUCAGCGAGGACUCUUAAAUGCUGACUGUGGGAAUCUGUGAAGAAUGAUGCCUUCAUUAUCACACUUGGAUAUACACUGAACCUUGCUUCCCUGUCCAGAGGCACCCUCUCCUCCACAGAAAACACCCUACCUGCCAUGCCUGACUUUCUUGAAUGCAUUUGCAAGGACUGUGCAUUAAGUAAAACAC
This is a long non-coding RNA of Haemorhous mexicanus (house finch), 1014 nucleotides long. RefSeq lists it as uncharacterized. The record is from RefSeq and is a predicted model, not a curated record. The transcript has 3 exons. NCBI's taxonomy places the organism in Eukaryota, Metazoa, Chordata, Aves, Passeriformes, Fringillidae.